This 1984-nucleotide long non-coding RNA is filed under the name Heterocephalus glaber (naked mole-rat). Its description in RNAcentral is "lncRNA (ENSHGLG00100042544.1)". Lineage: Eukaryota; Metazoa; Chordata; Mammalia; Rodentia; Bathyergidae. The record is from RNAcentral.
GCCUGUAACCACAGCACUCUGGGAGGCUGAGGCAGGAGGAUCACCAGUUUGGGUCCCACUGGCCCUAAGUGUCUGACUCAGGGAAGACCUUGUGCCUCUCACCCUGGACUCAGAUUCUGACAAUCGUGCUUAUUUUUCUCUAUUUUUGGAAUCGUAGUACCAGUUGAGCACCACUGAGAGGCGGUGGAGACCUCAAGGGGUGGAACCAUCAGGUCUAGGCCGCUGGGGGACUGCAGGAUCAGCUCUUUCUCCCUUUCUGGCUGUGCUGCUGCCAUAAUGUGCGCCUUGACGAAGCCUAACAGCAACAGCCUCAACCUGUCAUGGACCGAGACUUCCUUCCAGACAGGUGGGCCGAGCGCCUCUCCUCUGCAUAAGUCUGUUAUCCUAGGGCUUGGUUAGCAGGGCCGGGAGCUAGCGCGCAGACCAAAGCAACGGAAGCAGAGAGGGACGUCACGGAGGUUUCCAAAGUUUUGUUCAUUUCCGUUUAACUCACUUUCUUGUCUGUGUCACGAUCUUCCUGAAAAAUGCGCCUUGGGGACGAGGAGUCCUUUGUGACUCUCACCAGCCAGAUUUUCGGGGGAUUCGCCCGCAGACGAGAGGCCGGGGAGCGCAACACGAACCUUAGCGUUUCCCAAAGAUGUUACUUCAAGGCUGCUCGUGAGAGGCACUUGCUCCUUAACAACUGCGGAGGGCGGACGCGGCGGUGCUGCGCUGGGACAGGCGAGUCAGCCAGCGGAGGGCUCGCUCCGGGCUCCGGGCUCCUGGCGCUACGGUCGCUCCCUGACCUGAGACGCAGCCGAGAACUGAGCGAGACAAGCCAAAAAUGGGCCAAAGUUUAACUGGAAGCGGGGAUGAGGGAGAAACUGGCCCUGCACAGCGAACGUGGGCCGAACAAGAGCAGAAAAGAGAAAAACAAAAGUGCAGCCUGACCCGGGAGACACGGUAGGAGCGACCGUGAGGAGCCUUGACAGCAGAGUCUCCGCUGUGUAUAGUUUCUUUAUAGGGUCCACAUCUCGCGAGAACCCACGAGAAGACCACGUGAGGUCCCGAGAGGCCCUGCUGUGUUGAUCCUGGAAUCCCGCCAUGCUUCUCUUCCCACCUCGCCCAAGCCACGCCCUAUGUCCUACCUCAGUGGUGCUAACCGAGCUGCUUAUCCCACUGACUCAGGAUGAAGUGUGUUUUCACCCAAAGCUUUCAUUCCCCAUUUGAGUCUUGAUAAAACAUGAUUGUCUACCAAGCUCUCGCUGGGAAUCCUACUGACAUCUAAAGCAAGCACAUUACAGGGCCUCACUAAGUCUCUGAAUUGCCCAGGCUGGGUUUGAACUUCUGAUCCUCCUGCGUCAGCUUUCUAGAACCUCAAGAUUACAGUUGCUGGCUGUUUCUUAUUUGUUCAAGUUGCAAUCUGCAGGACCGAAGGUCAUCAGUCCAGCUGCCUCCUUUGGGUCCUUCCUGUCUGAACUCCACUGGUGCCAGUAUUUUCAACAUCCUCACUGAAAAACACUUGGGAAAGGGCAGUCGGAAGCUUAGGUUAUGACUCAGGAAGGGGCCAAGAGACUGUGCAUUUGCUUCACGGAUGGGGACACUAAGACGUAUGCAUUUCCGGUUGCUGUUGGGAGAAAUUGAAGCAGGACUUAAAGAAAAACAAGCCCAUUCCAGCCGUGGACAGUUCCCCCUGCCCCACCACUCCCCUCCCCUGGAGCUGCAACUCCUUGUUCUGGUACAGAUAAAAUUGACUACUAUGUCCUGUAAACAAACUUUACAGUUCUCAUAUGAUUCAUAAGACACUAUCUUUCAAGACAAAGUUAGAAAACUGUCUGCCCUUGUCGCGUUCUGGUAAACUCACUUGCUACGUCGCUAGAAAAACCACCUCCUUCGACAAAAUGUGUACAAGCUGGAACUUCUCUUUGUUCAACGCUCUUCCUUUGGACAGGAGUCUGUUGAGCUGGUAUACACUUUAAACCUGAAAUAAAGUCCUCCUAUGUCA